Molecule: non-coding RNA, 634 nt
Organism: Camellia sinensis
Lineage: Eukaryota; Viridiplantae; Streptophyta; Magnoliopsida; Ericales; Theaceae
Source: RefSeq, a predicted model, not a curated record
AGUUUUAAAUCUGUGUAAAACUUAAUAUUUGCAUAUUUAUGGCUUAAAUUUUAAAUAAUGAGAGAUGAGAAUUAUCUAUUCCAAUACUUAAUUGAAUGUAUUUUUAUGGACUCUCGUUUUUUAUAUAGAUUUAAAAUUUAUAUAAAAAACCAGAGUCCUUCAGAUUCUGAGGAGAAGCCAUGGCUUCUUAUGCUUGUGUUAGGCAAGUCCUCCAGCCCAAAUGUACUAAAUAUUCCCAAUUUCAAUUGAGCCCAUCUUGGGUCGUUCCUGGUUCACUCCAGGCUACAUGAAUUUUCCAGCCACCGGAAGAUGAGGAUGGAGUGUCUUUGGGGACCAUGAAAUUGCCUUUGGACAUUGACAUUCCUAGAUUUGAAAGCUUGCUUUUCCAGGAUCCUCAGAGAAAAGGUUGACUCCUAUUGAGGAAUUGACAUCUCUGGACUUGAAAACUGGGCAAACAGUCUUUGCCAAGGAGCUACUUUGCCACUUCCUAUGCCUCUAAAGGUUGGUAAUUGUAUGUAUUUUUAUUAUUUAUUAUAUAUGCCUUCUAAACCACUAGUAAGAUGAAUAUGUUCAUGGGAUUGUUAUGAAAGUGCUUACUUGAGCCUAGGCAAUGAGGCUUGUCCCAAUAUUUGUG